GAUGAAGAACGCAUCGAAAUGCGAUAAGUAAUGUGAAUUGCAGAAUUCAGUGAACCAUCGAAUCUUUGAACGCACAUUGCGCCCGGCAGUAAUCUGCCGGGCAUGCCUGUCCGAGCGUCAUUUCUGCCCUCGAGCGAGUCCAGCAUCUAGGUGCUGGGCCCGCCCGGCGUUGGGGCACUACGGGAAGCCCUGUGCUGUCCCCCGUAGGCCCCGAAAUGAAGUGGCGGUCCUGCCGCGGCGCCCCCUGCGUAGUAUAACAGCUCGCUUCGGGACCCGGUGGAGGCCUGCCGUCAAACCUUACUCUCUAAGUUUGACCUCGGAUCAGGUAGGGUUACCCGCUGAACUUAAGCAUAUCAAUAAGCGGAGGA
This 368-nucleotide unclassified non-coding RNA is filed under the name soil metagenome. RNAcentral describes it as "partial contains 5.8S ribosomal RNA, internal transcribed spacer 2, and large subunit ribosomal RNA". The stretch from base 1 to 120 matches the Rfam family "5.8S ribosomal RNA", at positions 35 to 154 of the family's 154-position model. The record is from RNAcentral.